Molecule: long non-coding RNA, 1669 nt
Filed under: Sus scrofa (pig)
Lineage: Eukaryota; Metazoa; Chordata; Mammalia; Artiodactyla; Suidae
Description: lncRNA (ENSSSCG00040027572.1)
Source: RNAcentral
AUUCUUAAUUUGAAGAGAUUUCUUUGUAGGUAUAAACUAUAGAUAGUAUAGUGUGUUUACUAUAUAACUUAUGGUGUUCAUCAAUUUGGCUAUUCUCAUGUGACCUAGAUGCUUGGUGACACAGUAAUUUGUAGAUUUGCUGAGGCACACUCUAAAUAGGUCUAUAACACAGCUAAUGAGGGUAGUAGGUCAUUUUCGUCAAUAAGAAUGCCUCACAGAGGACCAGGAGCCACAUCUUUACUAAGCCUUGUUGCUAUGUUUUGCUUUGGUGAUGUUUGUAAUUUAUGAUGCAAAUCAUAUACCGUAGUUAAACUUUUUUAUUAGGAGAUUCAGGAUGGUCUCAGGAGAUAACAUCAGAGAUAAUCAGUGGUCUAGAGUUUUGUGUGUGUGUCUGUGUCUGUGUGUGUUAAUCCCAUUUGUAAAAGGAGACCAGAAAUAUUCUGGAAAUAGGGCCUAUUAGAGACAUAAAAGAGAGAUUAUUUCACUUAUCUUCAUACUCUACCCUAUAGAAGCUAUAGAACACAGAUUCUUUACGUAAACAUGCAGGCAUAGGCUAGAAUCCAGGUAAUUUUCUCAUGUAGCUUGUUACUCUAGCAUAUACUGGGUUGAUAACAUCAUUAAAAUGAAAACUUGUGAACAGAAUGUGUUUUUUAAAAGGUGUUCAACAUUUGCUUUAUUGGUAUUUUUUUUCUUUGUGAUAAAAAUGAAUAGAAGCUUCAUUUCACAUUAUCAAAUAUGAUUGCUUUAUUAGCCCUCUUUUUAGAGCUGCACCUGUGGCAUAUGGAGGUUCCCAGGCUAGGAGUCUGCACCGGCCUACACCAGAGCCACAGCAAUGCCAGACCUGAGCCACACCUGUGACCUACAUCAUAGCUCACGGCGACGCCAGAUCCUCAACCCACUGAGUGAGGCCAGGGAUCAAACCCGCAAGCUCAUGGUUCCUAGUCGGAUUCGUUUCCACUGCGCCACAACUGAAAUCCCUCAAAUAUGAUAGUUUUAAAAACAAGACCUGAAUACCCAUAAGAUACAAAUUUUCAAUGUUCCUUUUUAUAAAAUUCAAUGCAUAAUUAGGCACAGUUCUAAACUUGAGUUGAAAUGUAUUGAGAUCUUUCUAAAUAACAUUUAUUUUUUAAAGAGAUACUUUUAUAAAACAGUAAAUAUACAGGUAUGGGGUAAAUUAUAACGUGAUUAUCUGAAGUGUUUCUUGUUAUGUUCUCUCUUAGAAUAGCUGCCAAGUAUUUUAGUAUGUUUAAAAAAUCUUAAUAUUAGGGAGCUUAUAAUUUAGAUUAUAUGAUCAUAUUCAGAAAAGCAUUAGAUAUAUAGAGUAACUAUUGAAAUGACUAUAUUGUUAUUAAAAGUUACAGACAUAUGUAGAGGCAGAAAAAUAUUCCCUUCUUCCCUUCUGGGUUCUUCAGUUGAUCUAAUAACAUUCAGCAUAUGACAGAUUCCCAAGAUAAAGACAUUUAAUUCUGUACAUAUGGGAUCCCCACGAAGAUAUGGGAUUCAAAUUGAGGUUUAUAUACCAUCCUGACCUAAGGAAUGGGAAAGGGGCCUGCAGCUUCCAAGGGAAGGCAGGCAAUUGACUGGAAGAGGCAAAGGGCAGGUGUUGAUAAUCAGAUGUUUACCUGGCCAUUCAGAUAAGCUCUUUCAGAUUUAAAAAAAAAAAAAAAAA